RNAcentral lists this ribosomal RNA (79 nucleotides) under Klebsiella pneumoniae. RNAcentral describes it as "partial 16S ribosomal RNA". Lineage: Bacteria; Pseudomonadati; Pseudomonadota; Gammaproteobacteria; Enterobacterales; Enterobacteriaceae. The record is from RNAcentral.
AUUGAAGAGUUUGAUCAUGGCUCAGAUUGAACGCUGGCGGCAGGCCUAACACAUGCAAGUCGAGCGGUAGCACAGAGCA